GAAACUAACUAGGAUUCCGUCAG
RNAcentral lists this unclassified non-coding RNA (23 nucleotides) under Dictyostelium discoideum. Lineage: Eukaryota; Evosea; Eumycetozoa; Dictyosteliales; Dictyosteliaceae. The record is from RNAcentral.